This 472-nucleotide ribosomal RNA is filed under the name uncultured bacterium. Its description in RNAcentral is "partial 16S ribosomal RNA". It matches the Rfam family "Bacterial small subunit ribosomal RNA", at positions 28 to 507 of the family's 1533-position model. The record is from RNAcentral.
GACGAACGCUGGCGGCGUGCUUAACACAUGCAAGUCGAACGCUGAAGCUUGGUGCUUGCACUGGGUGGAUGAGUGGCGCACGGGUGAGUAAUACGUGAGUAACCUGCCCUUGACUCUGGGAUAAGCCUGGGAAACUGGGUCUAAUACUGGAUACGACAUGUCACCGCAUGGUGGCGUGUGGAAAGGGUUUUACUGGUUUUGGAUGGGCUCACGGCCUAUCAGCUUGUUGGUGGGGUAAUGGCUCACCAAGGCGCCGACGGGUAGCCGGCCUGAGAGGGUGACCGGCCACACUGGGACUGAGACACGGCCCAGACUCCUACGGGAGGCAGCAGUGGGGAAUAUUGCACAAUGGGCGAAAGCCUGAUGCAGCGACGCCGCGUGAGGGAUGACGGCCUUCGGGUUGUAAACCGCUUUCAGCACGGAAGAAGCGAAAGUGACGGUACGUGCAGAAGAAGCGCCGGCUAACUACGUG